AGUGUGCCCACAACAAUGCCAUUAACCAACAGUUAAAAACCCAAGAAGAUGGAGCAAGGAAACCGAACUUGCCCGGGGACAGACAAAGCUGAGCAGUCACGUGUCCCGGCGCGCCGUGACGUCACCGGCCCGCGACCCAGCCAUUGAUUCCGACAGAGGGAGCGAGCGCGGCGGAGCUGGCAAGACGGGGCGGGGGGGGAGGCCCGGCAGCCUCCGGGAGGGCGCGCGUCCGGAGCGGCUGCGAGAUCCGGACCUAGGACAGUGCCUGGCAUGUAGAAGGUGUUCAGUAAAUAUUUACUAAGUGAAUGAAUGAAAAUCUCCCCCCAGGAAGAACAUGCUGGCAUCGUGUUGAUGAGGAUUCCAAUCUGCAUGGCAGACGCAGUCUCACUGUAACGCUCUGAAGCUCGAGGGCUGCAGGUCAUCCCAGGAAGGUGGAAGCUUUCUCCCCAUGGGGGUUUGAACCUCACAGAUCGGGCCCAAGGAGAAGCCAGCUGGGAAUUCCACCCUGUGUGAUACUUCACUCCCCUCAAACUUUUCUGACCUUUGUGUUGAGACAGAGUUUCACUCUUGCCCAGGCCGACCAUGAACUUUUGGGCUCAAGUGAUCCUUCUGCCUCAGCCUCCCACGUAACUGGGACUACAGGUGGUUUUGUCAUCAAACCUCAGGCAGUUUUGAAGCAAACCAGAUCAUCUCAGUGUCAUUAUUAUUCUACAGACCUCAAGACCACACCCAUCACUUUUCCAUAAGUCUUUUACAUUCCUGCAGUUAUCAUGAGAAAGCCCUGCUAAGUAUAACAGACCUAUGAAUGCUUUCAGUUCAGCUAGUGAGGUGUCAUAAUAAACAC
This 844-nucleotide long non-coding RNA is filed under the name Heterocephalus glaber (naked mole-rat). RNAcentral describes it as "lncRNA (ENSHGLG00100041344.1)". Lineage: Eukaryota; Metazoa; Chordata; Mammalia; Rodentia; Bathyergidae. The record is from RNAcentral.